GAUGAACGCUGGCGGCGUGCCUAAUACAUGCAAGUCGAGCGAAUGGAUUAAGAGCUUGCUCUUAUGAAGUUAGCGGCGGACGGGUGAGUAACACGUGGGUAACCUGCCCAUAAGACUGGGAUAACUCCGGGAAACCGGGGCUAAUACCGGAUAACAUUUUGAACCGCAUGGUUCGAAAUUGAAAGGCGGCUUCGGCUGUCACUUAUGGAUGGACACGCGUCGCAUUAGCUAGUUGGGGAGGUAACGGCUCACCAAGGCAACGAUGCGUAGCCGAACUGAGAGGGUGAUCGGCCACACUGGGACUGACACAUGGCCCAGACUCCUACGGGAGGCAGCAGUAGGUAAUCUUCCGCAAUGGUCGAAAGUCUGACGGAGCAACGCCGCGUGAGUGGUGAAGACGUUCGGGUCGUAAAACUCUGUUGUUAGGGAAGAACAAGUGCUAGUUGAAUAAGCUGGCACCUUGACGGUACCUAACCAGAAAGCCACGGCUAACUACGUGCCAGCCGCCGCAGUAA
RNAcentral lists this ribosomal RNA (515 nucleotides) under uncultured bacterium. RNAcentral describes it as "partial 16S ribosomal RNA". It matches the Rfam family "Bacterial small subunit ribosomal RNA", at positions 28 to 523 of the family's 1533-position model. The record is from RNAcentral.